Molecule: long non-coding RNA, 1454 nt
Organism: Vespa velutina
Lineage: Eukaryota; Metazoa; Arthropoda; Insecta; Hymenoptera; Vespidae
Exons: 3
Source: RefSeq, a predicted model, not a curated record
UCUCCUUUUAAAAACAAAACGAAGCUUUGAGAGAGAUGGAUAGCGUUCGGCAUCGAAUUCGCAUUUCCAGGAAAUUUUCAGGCCGAGAAUAAAACAAAAACAGUCGAGCGCUCGAUUCUCUCAAGGGCAAGAAAGAGAUCUUCAUUCCGAUAUAGUAUUUUGACGAGUGCGGAUCUCUGAAGAUAUUGAUUAGUUUCAUUUUAAUCGCGCAUCUUUUUAUUGAACAUUUAUAUUCUAACUUUAUUAAUUUUAAUAUUGUUAGAAAUCUAUUAUUGGAUAGAAUAAUAUAGGAAUUUGUAUAAUUUUUAUUUUAGAAAAUUUAUAAAACAAUUGGAUCCCUGUAAGCAAAGUACGUCAAAUACUUUGGUACAUUUCAAAAAUAUUCAGUUUUAAAAAAUUUUAAUUUAUCAAAUAUUCAUUAUGAUUAAUAAUUUUAGAUAAUAUAUUCUCUAAUGUGUUGCCUUCAGAGAUGAUUUACAGGAAAUGUUUUAUUCUUUCUUGUUCUAUAAUCUAUUGUAUGUUUCAGCUUUUAUUAAGUUCAGUUUUUAUUAAUCAUUAGAGUCAGUGUUUUUUUUGCUCGUAUCGUUGGAAUUUAUUUCUAUAUUUGAAUAAGUUUAUUAAAUAAAGUAUUAAAUUGUUUAAUAUAAAUUCGCGAAUUAGAAUCAGUGUUUGUUCGUAAUAAGUGUAAUUUUGUUUUAUAACUAAAAGUAAUCUGGUUAAAUAAAAUUAGAUUUAAUAUAAAUUCGCGUUGUAGAGUCAGUGUUAGUACAUAUUCAUCUUGUCCUGGGGCAGGAUGCUCAUCGUGCAAAGGAUCAACAAAGGCUCUGCUCAAAUAAAAGAAGAAUCACAUCCUCUUCAUCGUCCUGGGGGGCAGGAUGCUCAUCGUGCAAGCCUCAAUGAAGAUUUUAAAAAACCAUUGCAAUCGCGCGCGAAGCAAUGAAUAAAAUCGAGUGUUGUAUCGCUAAAAUAAAAACCAAAAAGUCGCGAAGUAGAAGCAGUGUUUGUUCGUUCGCGUUUCGCGAUUUAAACAGCAAGUGUUUUUGCGUCGAUUGCGUGCAAUGCAGUCGUUAGAAUCAGUGUUUGUUCUCAAAGUAAUUUGCUUUUUUAACAGUUGCAUAGUAUAUUCAUAAAAGGUGGUAGACUUUCUCGAAUUAACUUCAGUGAUCGUCCGUUAAAAAAUAACUACCGCGUAUUAGAGUCAGUGCAUCAUUGAAGAGGAUCCUCGACCAACUUCGAUGUCGACCUACCUCAUUUUCAACCAGCUACGAAUCAUCCACCCUCAAUUUCGACCUAAAUCGUGGACGAGUGUUUUGGAGCCAUCGCAGAACUUCUUAAGUAGUAAGUGAACAAAUUUUGAGUCCCUCCAGUGCUCAAUCAUGCCGAGGACGAAAGGUCCGAAUCGGCACGAGUUACUGGUUGUAAUUUUUUAAAUAAAUUAUCGACGAGCAUGACCG